UGGGGAAUCUUAGACAAUGGGGGAAACCCUGAUCUAGCCAUGCCGCGUGAGUGACGAAGGCCUUAGGGUUGUAAAGCUCUUUCGCCGGUGAAGAUAAUGACGGUAACCGGUAAAGAAGCCCCGGCUAACUUCGUGCCAGCAGCCGCGGUAAUACGAAGGGGGCUAGCGUUGUUCGGAAUUAUUGGGCGUAAAGCGUCCGCAGGUGGUGCCUCAAGUCUGCUGUCAAAGACCGAAGCUCAACUUCGGGCAGGCAGUGGAAACUGAAGCACUAGAGUACGGUAGGGGUAGAGGGAAUUUCCAGUGUAGCGGUGAAAUGCGUAGAGAUUGGAAAGAACACCAGUGGCGAAGGCGCUCUACUGGACCGUAACUGACACUCAGGGACGAAAGCUAGGGGAGCGAAAGGGAUUAGAUACCCCUGUAGUCC
Molecule: ribosomal RNA, 424 nt
Filed under: uncultured prokaryote
Description: bacterial SSU rRNA
Rfam family: Bacterial small subunit ribosomal RNA
Source: RNAcentral